AACAUGAGGAACUGUAUUAAAGGGUCGCGGCAUUAGGAAAGUUGAGAACCACUGCUCUAGAUCCAAGUUCAGAAUCAGAAUACUGAUAAUCUCAAUCUCUUCUCUCAACUGUAUCGAGCCAUUGAGUAUUCAGUGGCUCGAUACAGCUGUGAGAAGAUUUCUCUUGGUGUAUCUGGAUGGUCAUGGCUAAAAAUAUUAAAAUCUGAUAAAGUGAAAUGGAUACCUAGACAAAGCCACAUCUCUUGUAUUAACAAAAUAUCCAACCAUGCAUAAUUUUCCAUGUUGAUGAGUUGUGAGCAAUUAGUCUGAAUGCCUCAGGCAUUCCAUUGAAUCAUUUGUAGUGAGAACUAUCCAUUGAAUGAUUAAAUUUGGAAGAUGCUUACUAAGCUUAACUAUAUUUACCAAGAUUGGAAAUAUAAGAAGCAAGUAACUGCUACUGAUCCUGAUGCAGUGAUUGAGCCACUCCUGACUGAUCACAUCACUGCUCAUCUCAAAUGACCUGAGUCCAUAUUUUCUGACAUUUCUGAGGCCAUAUCUCUGGAACCUACAGUAUUCCUCAAAAGGAGUGACUGGCCACUCAAGAGAUUAUCUUGUGAUGACUUUUUGCCUUUCUUUUGGUACUUCAAAAGCAGUAUAGCUAGAGAGGCCAAGGCCACCACCAGUUGUCCAGUUGGAUGAUGUGCUUCAGAUUUUGUUUGACAUUUCCAUAGAUCUGCAUCUAAACUAGUCAAUGCCAUCAAAACCAUGACUGUUGUUUCCAGAUGCUGGAUGUGUGGUUCACACACCUUUAGCUGGAAGGUGAAUGUUUGUAUGAUUGUGAGAAGAGAUUGAGAAGACUCUGAAGGACUGAAUUAAAGGAUUUUGUCUUGGGGCUGAUGGAAUGACAAAUAAGCAUAUUGCUUACUAUCUUGGAGACAAGAUUUAAUUUAUAAUCUCACACCUUAUAAUUUUUCAGGAGUUCCAGAUUUGGAUCUGGUUCAUUAACUAAAAUUAAUCUAAUAAGUC
Molecule: long non-coding RNA, 1005 nt
Filed under: Androctonus crassicauda
Lineage: Eukaryota; Metazoa; Arthropoda; Arachnida; Scorpiones; Buthidae
Source: RNAcentral